AGUGAACGCUGGCGGUAGGCCUAACACAUGCCAGUCGAACGGCAGCACAGUAAGAGCUUGCUCUUACGGGUGGCGAGUGGCGGACGGGUGAGGAAUACAUCGGAAUCUUCUUUUUCGUGGGGGAUAACGUAGGGAAACUUACGCUAAUACCGCAUACGACCUACGGGUGAAAGCAGGGGAUCUUCGGACCUUGCGCGAUUGAAUGAGCCGAUGUCGGAUUAGCUAGUUGGCGGGGUAAAGGCCCACCAAGGCGACGAUCCGUAGCUGGUCUGAGAGGAUGAUCAGCCACACUGGAACUGAGAAACGGUACAGACUCCUACGGGAGGCAGCAGUGGGGAAUAUUGGACAAUGGGCGCAAGCCUGAUCCAGCCAUACCGCGUGGGUGAAGAAGGACUUCGGGUUGUAAAGCGCUGUUGUUGGGAAAGAAAAGCAGCAGGUUAAUACCCCGCUGUUCUGACGGUACCCAAAGAAUAAGCACCGGCUAACGUCGUG
This 492-nucleotide ribosomal RNA is filed under the name uncultured bacterium. Its description in RNAcentral is "partial 16S ribosomal RNA". It matches the Rfam family "Bacterial small subunit ribosomal RNA", at positions 29 to 507 of the family's 1533-position model. The record is from RNAcentral.